Molecule: ribosomal RNA, 606 nt
Filed under: Chrysotila dentata
Lineage: Eukaryota; Haptophyta; Isochrysidales; Isochrysidaceae
Description: LSU rRNA
Rfam family: Eukaryotic large subunit ribosomal RNA
Source: RNAcentral
UAAAGAACUAACCAGGAUGCCCCUAGUAAUGGCGAAUGAAGCGGGCGUAGCUCACGCUGCCAAUCUGGAGGCCGACUCUUGCGUGUCUCCCGAAUUGUGGUCUAGGAAGGCGCCAUCGGCCGCGCGCGUCGCCGAAAUCCCUUGGAAGAGGGUAUCGGAGAAGGUGAGAAUCCUGUGCCGUGGCGCGUCGCGGCCUCACGAUGCGUCCUUGUCGAGUCGGGUUGCUUGGGAUUGCAGCUUGAAGUGGGUGGUAAAUUCCAUCUAAAGCUAAAUAGUGGCGAGAGACCGAUAGCGAACAAGUACCGUGAGGGAAAGAUGCAAAGAACUUUGAAAAGAGAGUCAAAGAGUGCUUGAAAUUGGCAGGAGGAAACCCGGUUGCGCCCGGCGUCGGCGCGUCGACUCAGCCGUGCUCGCGCUUGUCCUGUGCGGACCGCAAGGCCGCUUUGGGUUGGUUUGUGUGCGGUGCACUUCGACGCGUCGGGUCAGCUUUCGCUGCGCGUUGCGAGAGAUGCCGUUGGGUGAGGCCUUGGCGAUCCCAUUCGGAGCGUCGCGAGUGCGGCGUGUUUGAGCUGACGGAACGGGCGCCACCGACCCGUCUUGAAAAGG